AUUGAACGCUGGCGGCAGGCUUAACACAUGCAAGUCGAGCGGGGUGAUGGUGCUUGCACUAUCACUUAGCGGCGGACGGGUGAGUAAUGCUUAGGAAUCUGCCUAUUAGUGGGGGACAACAUCUCGAAAGGGAUGCUAAUACCGCAUACGUCCUACGGGAGAAAGCAGGGGAUCACUUGUGACCUUGCGCUAAUAGAUGAGCCUAAGUCGGAUUAGCUAGUUGGUGGGGUAAAGGCCUACCAAGGCGACGAUCUGUAGCGGGUCUGAGAGGAUGAUCCGCCACACUGGGACUGAGACACGGUCCAGACUCCUACGGGAGGCAGCAGUGGGGAAUAUUGCACAAUGGGCGCAAGCCUGAUGCAGCCAUGCCGCGUGUAUGAAGAAGGCCUUCGGGUUGUAAAGUACUUUCAGCGGGGAGGAAGGCGGUGAAGUUAAUAACUUCACCGAUUGACGUUACUCGCAGAAUAAGCACCGGCUAACUCUGUGCCAGCCGCCGCGGUAA
This 502-nucleotide ribosomal RNA is filed under the name uncultured bacterium. RNAcentral describes it as "partial 16S ribosomal RNA". It matches the Rfam family "Bacterial small subunit ribosomal RNA", at positions 30 to 523 of the family's 1533-position model. The record is from RNAcentral.